This 454-nucleotide ribosomal RNA is filed under the name Micrococcus luteus. RNAcentral's name for it is "bacterial SSU rRNA". It matches the Rfam family "Bacterial small subunit ribosomal RNA", at positions 8 to 460 of the family's 1533-position model. The record is from RNAcentral. Lineage: Bacteria; Bacillati; Actinomycetota; Actinomycetes; Micrococcales; Micrococcaceae.
AGAGUUUGAUUCCAUGGCUCAGGAUGAACGCUGGCGGCGUGCUUAACACAUGCAAGUCGAACGAUGAAGCCCAGCUUGCUGGGUGGAUUAGUGGCGAACGGGUGAGUAACACGUGAGUAACCUGCCCUUAACUCUGGGAUAAGCCUGGGAAACUGGGUCUAAUACCGGAUAGGAGCGUCCACCGCAUGGUGGGUGUUGGAAAGAUUUAUCGGUUUUGGAUGGACUCGCGGCCUAUCAGCUUGUUGGUGAGGUAAUGGCUCACCAAGGCGACGACGGGUAGCCGGCCUGAGAGGGUGACCGGCCACACUGGGACUGAGACACGGCCCAGACUCCUACGGGAGGCAGCAGUGGGGAAUAUUGCACAAUGGGCGAAAGCCUGAUGCAGCGACGCCGCGUGAGGGAUGACGGCCUUCGGGUUGUAAACCUCUUUCAGUAGGGAAGAAGCGAAAGGACG